AAGUCGUAACAAGGUUUCCGUAGGUGAACCUGCGGAAGGAUCAUCAAUGAAUUUUCAAAUGAUGGCCUACAUCUUUGAAAUUGUCUAGCGAAAUUUUAUUUGCUUGACUGGAAUUGACGGAUUAUUGUCUAAUUUAGGCGAUAAUUAUAUUUAAAGUCUAAGGUUUUAAAGUAAGGCGGUACUUUAACCAAAAAAAUUUUCAACUUAACCGACCAAAAAACAACUUUCGGCAACGGAUCUCUCGGCUCACC
Molecule: unclassified non-coding RNA, 251 nt
Filed under: fungal sp.
Lineage: Eukaryota; Fungi
Description: partial internal transcribed spacer region
Rfam family: Eukaryotic small subunit ribosomal RNA (bases 1-46)
Source: RNAcentral